CGGAUAUUUCGUCUCCUGGCCUGGCUUAUUUCGUUUCGGUGCUGCUGAGACCUCCUUUCGCGGAAUAUUACUCAAUGACAGUGUGCGAAGAACGCGAGUUCCCCUUCUCGACGAAAAUCGUGGACUAACAGUUUGAAGUCAUUGAACUACUUCCAAGAGUUGUAUCGACAUCAACAGGAUUACGAUUUCAGUGCAAUAUGA
Molecule: long non-coding RNA, 201 nt
Organism: Sycon ciliatum
Lineage: Eukaryota; Metazoa; Porifera; Calcarea; Leucosolenida; Sycettidae
Exons: 3
Source: RefSeq, a predicted model, not a curated record